AGAACUCGGGAGAACCCGUGGCAGC
Molecule: unclassified non-coding RNA, 25 nt
Filed under: Mus musculus (house mouse)
Lineage: Eukaryota; Metazoa; Chordata; Mammalia; Rodentia; Muridae
Description: oocyte_clustered_small_RNA159
Source: RNAcentral